Molecule: ribosomal RNA, 459 nt
Filed under: uncultured bacterium
Lineage: Bacteria
Description: partial 16S ribosomal RNA
Rfam family: Bacterial small subunit ribosomal RNA
Source: RNAcentral
CCUAUGGGCGGCAGCAGUGAGGAAUAUUGGUCAAUGGUCGGGAGACUGAACCAGCCAAGCCGCGUGAGGGAUGAAGGUACAGAGUAUCGUAAACCUCUUUUGUCAGGGAACAAAGGCGGGGACGCGUCCCCGGAUGAGUGUACCUGAAGAAAAAGCAUCGGCUAACUCCGUGCCAGCAGCCGCGGUAAUACGGGGGAUGCGAGCGUUAUCCGGUUUUAUGGGGUUAAAAGGGUGCGCAGGGGGGUGGUUAAGUCAGCGGUCAAAGCCCGGGGUGCAGCCCCGGCCCGCCGUUGAAACUGGCAGUCUCGAGUUGGAGAGAGGUAUGCGGAAUGCGCGGUGUAGCGGUGAAAUGCAUAGAUAUCGCGCAGAACUCCGAUUGCGAAGGCAGCAUGCCGGCUCCACACUGACGCUGAGGCACGAAAGCGUGGGUAUCGAACAGGAUUAGAUACCCUUGUAGUC